Molecule: non-coding RNA, 963 nt
Organism: Macaca mulatta (Rhesus monkey)
Lineage: Eukaryota; Metazoa; Chordata; Mammalia; Primates; Cercopithecidae
Source: RefSeq, a predicted model, not a curated record
AUGGCCGACCUUGAGGAGUUAUGGGUUUCUUCACCAGCCCCCAGAACCUCCCUUUUCUCCCUCAUCUUCAGACGCCUUUCAGCAUCUUCCCCACUUGUCCAGUGAGUUUGGGCUGGCCAGGUCUAAGCACAAGCAACGGCCGAAUGGUAGACCUGCUGGAGAAAGUGGAGAUGCAGAUCAGAGAUGCAGUAUUUUCAUUAACCAAUUUCUUGAGGUCACAUCUACAGUAUCAGCUCAAGUGGAAGAACUUGUCUUCAAAUGUACAGAAAAUGCAUGUUUCCUUAAAACCUGGUGGGACCUCUUAAAAGAAGGCUAUGAUUCUUUGAAACCUGAUGACUGAUUUGGCAUGCUUAGUUAUUAAUGAUUGUGUCAUAACUCAUACUUCCUCAUAUAUGAUAUUUGCAUAUGUACUACGUGUAUAGAAUGAUCUCUUUCCAGCAGUUCUGUAUAUACUCAAUAAUAAUUUUUUUCUUGGUUUUCUUGGCUUUUGUGAAAGCAGAAGGCUGAUGCUAUUUUUAUUGCUGACCAGUACUUGUUUACCCAUUAGUAUUUUCUGCCCUCUAAACUUUUUUAUAAUCCUUUAUGAAAGUUAAUUUCAUCAGUAGAUAGUUAAUAGUGCCAAAGUGCUACCAGUGGCAAACUAGGUAGAUUGUUAUUUGUUUUCAACAAGAUGCCAAGCAUGUCAGAGUUUGAAGUUGAGCUUCAACUUAAAUACAAAGGGAGGUAAUUUUAAGGUUGCCAGUGAAAGAUCCAGUUCCAUUAGGUUUAGUUCUCCAGAGCUAAUGAUUGUUUCUGAUUUAUUUCUAUAUCUCUAGCACCUAAAACAGUGUCGCACAAUAGUCACUAAAUGUUUAUUGAAUAAAGGAGUGGACAAACAUAAUUAAAAGCUAUUUUUCUUCCUAUAUAUAGCAUGAAGAUUGUAAUUGCUUCUCUAGAAAAUGUAUGAAUCCAAACUUUACUAAC